GGCGCAUUGGGAUUGCUUGUCAUAACUUCAAAGGACUGAAAGAUGAAGCAAUAUGAAGGCUUGGGGGGAAAUCCAAGUAAAACAUUCUUGGAGUGGUUGUUGCCAUUUGUUUUCCCUUGAGAGAGGAUUUCCAAUCUUUUUUUUCUUUUUUCGGAUAAAUUAAGAUGUGAUAGAUGUUUAAGGAUGAGUAGCAUUUGAUACUUGCGUAGCUGACCUCCAGCCCAACUUCUUCCGCUGUUUUU
This 242-nucleotide unclassified non-coding RNA is filed under the name Hevea brasiliensis (rubber tree). The record is from RNAcentral. Lineage: Eukaryota; Viridiplantae; Streptophyta; Magnoliopsida; Malpighiales; Euphorbiaceae.